RNAcentral lists this ribosomal RNA (526 nucleotides) under uncultured bacterium. RNAcentral describes it as "bacterial SSU rRNA". It matches the Rfam family "Bacterial small subunit ribosomal RNA", at positions 355 to 896 of the family's 1533-position model. The record is from RNAcentral.
UAGGGAAUAUUGCACAAUGGGCGAAAGCCUGAUGCAGCAACGCCGCGUGUGCGAAGAAGGCCUUCGGGUCGUAAAGCACUUUUCUGGGAGAUGAGAAAGGACAGUAUCCCAGGAAUAAGUCUCGGCUAACUACGUGCCAGCAGCCGCGGUAAAACGUAGGAGGCGAGCGUUAUCCGGAUUCACUGGGCGUAAAGCGCGUGCAGGCGGUUUGGUAAGUUGGGCGUGAAAGCUCCUGGCUCAACUGGGAGAGGUCGUCCAAAACUACCAGACUAGAGAGCGGUAGAGGAAAAUGGAAUUCCCGGUGUAGUGGUGAAAUGCGUGGAUAUCGGGAGGAACACCAGUGGCGAAGGCGAUUUUCUGGACCGUUUCUGACGCUCAGACGCGAAAGCUAGGGUAGCAAACGGGAUUAGAGACCCCGGUAGUCCUAGCUGUAAACGAUGUGAACUUGGCGUUGGUGGCUUAAACACCAUCAGUGCCGUAGCUAACGCGAUAAGUUCACCGCCUGGGGACUACGGCCGCAAGGUUA